CUCCGGUUGAUCCUGCCGGACCCGACUGCUAUCGAAGUGGGGCUAAGCCAUGCUAGUUGAACGCCCCUCAACCAUGUGAGGGACGUAGCACACGGCUCAGUAACACGUUGUCAACCUACCCUGAAGAUGCGGAUAACCCCGGGAAACUGGGACUAAACCGCGAUAGAUCAAGAUUCCUGGAACGGGUCAUGAUCCAAAGGAAAGACGGGCAUGUCUGUCUGUUUGCUUCAGGAUGGGACUGCGACCGAUCAGGUUGUUGGUGGAGUAAAAGCCCACCAAGCCAGUAACCGGUACGGGCUUUGAGAGAAGGAGCCCGGAGAUGGACACUGAGACAAGGGUCCAGGUCCUACGGGGCGCAGCAGGCGCGAAAACUUCGCAAUGCACGAAAGUGCGACGAGGCUACUUCGAGUGCCAUCCGCUGAGGAUGGCUUUUGCCAAGUCUAAAUAGCUUGGAGAAUAAGGGGAGUGAAUAAGGGGAGGGCAAGUCUGGUGUCAGCCGCCGCGGUAAUACCAGCUCCUCGAGUGGUUGGGACGAUUAUUGGGCCUAAAGCAUCCGUAGCCUGCUCCGUAGGUCUUCUGUUAAAUUCAACGGCUCAACCGUUGAGCUGCAGGAGAUACCACGAGGCUAGGAGGCGGGAGAGGUAGACGGUACUCCAUGUGUAGGGGUAAAAUCCUCUGAUCCAUGGAAGACCACCAGUGGCGAAGGCGGUCUACCAGAACGCGCUCGACGGUGAGGGAUGAAAGCUGGGGGAGCGAACCGGAUUAGAUACCCGGGUAGUCCCAGCUGUAAACGAUGCUAGCUAGGUGAUAGAGUGGCUUCGUGCCAUUCUAGUGCUGCAGGGAAGCCGUUAAGCUAGCCGCCUGGGGAGUACGGUCGCAAGGCUGAAACUUAAAGGAAUUGGCGGGGGAGCACCACAAGGGGUGAAGCCUGCGGUUCAAUUGGAGUCAACGCCGGGAACCUUACCGGGAGCGACAGCAGGGUGAAGGUCAAGCUGAAGACUUUACCUGACGAGCUGAGAGGAGGUGCAUGGCCGUCGUCAGCUCGUGCCGUGAGGUGUCCUGUUAAGUCAGGCAACGAGCGAGACCCCUGCCGUUAAUUGCUACCAUUAUCCGCAAGGAUGGUGGAGCUAGUUGACGGGACUGCCGCCGCUAAGGCGGAGGAAGGAAGGGGCAACGGCAGGUCAGUAUGCCCCGAAACUCCUGGGCCACACGCGGGCUGCAAUGGUAGAGACAAUGGGUUCCUACCUCGAAAGGGGGAGGCAAUCCCCAAACUCUACCCCAGUUGUGACUGAGGGCUGCAACCCGCCCUCACGAAUCUGGAAUCCCUAGUAAUCGCAUGUCAUCACCGUGCGGUGAAUACGUCCCUGCUCCUUGCACACACCGCCCGUCGCUUCACCCGAGUUGGGUUUGGGCGAGGUGGCGCCUAGUUGACGUCAUCGAACCUGAGCUCGGCAAGGGGGGAGAAGUCGUAACAAGGUGGCCGUAGGGGAACCUGCGGCCGGAUCACCUCC
Molecule: ribosomal RNA, 1511 nt
Filed under: uncultured archaeon
Lineage: Archaea
Description: bacterial SSU rRNA
Rfam family: Archaeal small subunit ribosomal RNA
Source: RNAcentral